Molecule: long non-coding RNA, 360 nt
Organism: Sorghum bicolor (sorghum)
Lineage: Eukaryota; Viridiplantae; Streptophyta; Magnoliopsida; Poales; Poaceae
Exons: 3
Source: RefSeq, a predicted model, not a curated record
CGGCCGGACCGAACCGUGCGCCGAACGGGAGCCCACGCGAAUUUCCCGCGCUAGUCUUGCGCGCUGCUGCCGCUGCAGGGAGACCCAUGUGCGGCCUAGUGCAUGAGCUAUCACAGCGAAUUUAUGACUACGACGUAGUCAUUUCAGAAUCAAGUAUAUACUAAAGAAUGUCCCAUGUCACUUAUUCCAAAAGAGGGCAAAAAUACAAAAGAGGAAGUGCGCGUGAAACGUUGAUCAUAAUGUAGUAUUGAAAACAGAGCAAGCAGAAAUUACAGAGGGCAACCUGAAGGUGCGACACAAGCAGUUGCAGUGCAAACAAGACAGUACAUAUAUCCAAUUAUUUGAAGCCAAGUCUAGGAA